AGUUGGUGAGGGACAGGGAGGCCUGGCAUGCUGCGAUUCAUGGGGUCACAGAGUCAAAUACGACUGAGUGACUGAACCGAACUGAACUGAACCGAAGGAUUAGAUGGUAAUAAUGUGUCAGUGCUAGUUUCCUCAUCUUGAUUGGUUGUAUUAUGGUGAGAUAAGAGAAUGUCCUUGUACAUAGGAAAUACACACAAUAGUAUUGAAGGGUAAUGGGGCAGUAGGUUGGGAACUUACUCCCAAAUUAUUCAAAUAGCAAAAAUUCUUAGUACUGUUUUUUCAAGCAUCCUGUAUGAUUGACAUUGAUUCAAAAUGAAAGGAUUUUUUAUGAAAAUACAAAGUUAAAUGUGCACUAAGUUACAGCAAAUUCUCACAGAUCGAUCUCUCUUUUUUUUUUGGCCAUGCAGCAUGCUGGAUAUUAGUUCUCUGACCAGAGACGAUUGA
This 444-nucleotide long non-coding RNA is filed under the name Capra hircus (goat). Its description in RNAcentral is "lncRNA (ENSCHIG00010006019.1)". Lineage: Eukaryota; Metazoa; Chordata; Mammalia; Artiodactyla; Bovidae. The record is from RNAcentral.